GGGACUUGUGUGAAGAUAGAGUUAGAUAAUUACAUGAUGGAAAUCAAAAAUCUAUUUAUGAAUGAAUCAAUCCAAGUUUACAUUAUAAAGAUCUGGAAGAAGCCUACUUGUGGAAGUUACAUUUUCAUCUUUACCAGGUACAGAUACUGAGACUGAAGAAUCACUCCAAGGUGCAUUCAUAUUUUGUCCUUGACUGUCCUGAGAGUAUGUUGAUACUUGUGUUGUUUGACUGUCAUGUGAAAGCUUCUCGAACGAUUUAAAUCUCAUUUCAUCGUCUGAUGUAGUACGUUUGAUUAUUGGUGCUUGCACGGGGAGUUUUCCUUCGAGCAUACUCACUACAGAAGACAUGGAUGGUCGGAGAGUAGGAGAGGGAUUCGUGCACAAAAGAGACACGUUUAUCAUCCGCAUUGCCUCUUUUUUGGAGUAAUUGGUACCGAGACGUGGAUCAACUAGUUCUAACAGAUUUCCCUGUUCUUGUAGGACGUAAGCCCAGUCAAGAAGGUAAACAAAUUCCUCUUUUGGUCUGUAGUUUGUGUUGCUUUUCCCACUGACAAUCUCUAAUAAAACAACUCCAAAGCUAUAAACAUCAGCUUUAUCUGUCAAGUAGCCUCUCAUUGCAUACUCCGGAGCCAUAUAACCUACUGUUCCAGCAAUUCGGGUGCUAAUAUGAGUGUUCUCUUCUUCAUCUAAUUUAGCCAAUCCAAAAUCUGAAAUCUUCGCGUUCAGAUCCUUAUCAAGAAGCACAUUCGUACACUUUAUAUCUCUAUGGACGAUUUUCAACCUUGAUUCUUCAUGAAGGUAAGCUAACCCUUUUGCUAUUCCUGAGCAUAUCCUUUUUCUGGUUGCCCAGUCUAUGUUUAAUCUCUGAU
Molecule: unclassified non-coding RNA, 869 nt
Filed under: Hevea brasiliensis (rubber tree)
Lineage: Eukaryota; Viridiplantae; Streptophyta; Magnoliopsida; Malpighiales; Euphorbiaceae
Source: RNAcentral